Long non-coding RNA from Beta vulgaris subsp. vulgaris (sugar beet), 4093 nucleotides. RefSeq lists it as uncharacterized. The transcript has 8 exons. NCBI's taxonomy places the organism in Eukaryota, Viridiplantae, Streptophyta, Magnoliopsida, Caryophyllales, Amaranthaceae. The record is from RefSeq and is a predicted model, not a curated record.
UACUCUAGCCUAAUUCCCUCGUCACUCUCUUAUUUGUCAUUCACACCUUGUCCUCUCCAUUCUCAAGACCCAACUCAAAAACCUAAUGGGAGAGCAGGCGACAUCACGGCGGGCGACCGCCACGACUCCAUGGCUCUUCUCCUUCUCUCACGGUGGCAGAGUUAAUUAACAAAGGAGAAUCGGGGGCGAAACCCUAGCUUUCUCUGUCUUUUCGCAAUCGCAUCUGCUAAAGUGUUAAUUCGAAUUCUUCGAGGAACAUUUCGAAGGGUCGCCAACGACACAGAUGUUGAGCAUAAUUACAGGAUCACUGUAUAACAGUUUCAUUGAAAAGGACACCAAUACCUUUCCAGAUUUCCAUGUAGCAUUUCUAGAUAUAUUCAACACUUUCAACUCCUCGUUGCCUAGUAAACACUAUGAUGUUACUUCACGCCAGGAAGUAAAGGUUUUUGGUUCUUAUUACAGUUGAUUGUUACACUUGAAUAUAAAGUUCUGAGCAUAUAUAUUUGGUUAGGCUGAAAGUGGAAAUAGGCAGAAAGUGUAUUCUAGCUUUCUGGAUUAUGUUUCAGUUUUAUCGUUGCUACUACUGGGUGCUUCUAGUCCAGGAAUUAGUCCAUCUGCAUCAGCAGCUAGCUUGGGGAGUAUUAACACCAGCUUUAUUGGUGAUAGCAGCGCGAGUACAGUAGGUUCAAUGGCCUACUCACUUGGACCAUAUGAGCAUGUCACAUAUAGUUCUUCUGUGAGUCUUGAGCAAUCUCUCCAAAUAGGAAAAGAUAAUCAAGGCAAUGGAGAAUCUGAUCCAAGCAGCAUAAAUACGUAUGUAGACAUUGGAGAUUUAUCUUCAAAUGCUAAUCAGUAUGGUUUUUGUGUAAAUAGUAUCUUAUAUGUUUCAGGUUGAAGCCGUGAGUUAUUCUUUUGCAAGCUGAAGCGGAUACGAGAUGGUGCAAUAUUAUAUUUGUUAUUGAAGUGAGGACGCUCCACUUGUAAUAGUUAAUCGUUUAUUUUCUAUAAUUUAUUUCUUCAUUUAAGAAUCGUUAGCUAGUGCUCUUGAUUCUCUGUUGGUUGUUGCUCCGCGAAAGCGUUGAGGUUGUUCAGCUUUGGGAUUUGGAAAUAUUUUAUAAAUUGAAAUUGUAACAGGUUCAUAUUAUUUUUCGCUUUAGCGUUGUCCUAUUUUCAAAGGAAAUUCUGCCGGAUUUUCUGUAGAAAUUUAUGGGAAUAGAGUCUGAGAAUCAGAGCGUAGUUGCAAUAGUAAAUUAAUUUGAAUAGAGUUGGGAAUCCAGUUCCAUACUCUCCGAUGUAGUUCGGUGAGUGUGAUGGUAAUAGUUCGGGUUAUCUUGACCAGAGUCUCUUUCGCUGUGUUUAAUCCUCUGUAAGCUGGUCGGGAGAAUUCGGGCUGUUACACAAAAAGAAAAGAAAAAAUAGAAAUUGACAAUAUUACUACGGUUCCCGCCCUAAACCGCAGCAAUAUUGUCUAACGGACACUUUUUAAAAUUAAUGUGGGGGCCUGAACAGCAAAUAUUGUUGCGGUUUCCACGUAGGACCGCAGCAAUAUAUUAAAAAAAUAUUUUUUUAAUAUAUUGCUGCGGUCCUACAUGGCAACCGCAGCAAUAUAUGCUGAAUUAACCAAAAAAAGACGGGGCGCCUGUUGAAAUUAUAAAACACAACACUUAGGGUUUUUCUUUCACUCCUCUCAAGAGAGGUGCCUCUCUCUCUCCUCUCUCUCCUCUCUCUCACUCGUUCGUUUUCCCUCACCUUCUCUCUCCUCUCAGCCUUCGUUUUCUCUCACCCUCCCUCCUCACUCACCGUCGCCACCCUUGCUCGACGCAACAAAGCCUCCUCCGUGGUUCGUUCGUUCGUUCAGAUCCAUCAACAAUUGUUCGCUCUUCUUCGCCGCAUCAACUGUCGUUCGCUCUUCGUCGCCGCAUCAACUCUCGUUCGCUCUUCAUCGCCAUCAACAAUUGUUCACUCACUCUCCUCGUCGCCGCAUCAGUGAGUGAUGGAUUUCACUCAAUCGUCGUUCAUCGAGAUGCGGGGGGUUGAUGCAAGAGAUCUUCACUCAAUCGACCCUCACCCACCGCAAUCUGUUUUUGAUAUCUCAGAAGAUGGGUAAGGUGGUAAUUUUUGCUACAGUGUUGGGAGCUGCGGUAGUUUGUGCAGUAGGGGGGUUAAUUGUGAGCCGUCGGAUGAAAAUGGGGAAAAUUGGAGGCGUAUGAUGGAGAUAUUGAGGGAUUUUGAGGAGAAAUGUCGGACCCCAAUUGAGAAAUUGAAGUAGGUGGCUGAUGCCAUGGUUAUGGAAAUGCAUGCUAGUCUUGCUUCUGAUGAUGGCAGCAGUAUUAAGAUGCUUAUCAGCUAUGUUGACAAUCUCCUAACUGGGUAUUUUUCUUUUUCCUUUUUUUUUAUGUUGUUGUGAAAGGGGAAUUAGUUGUCUAUUAUGAUGUUAUUACUUUCAUGUAAUUUUUGCUUAAUUCUGAUAUGUUCUUUAUAUGGUGGAAGUAUUUUGAUCUGAUAGGGUGUUUGCUGCAAAUUUUAUACAUAGUUAUCAACUUGAAAGUGUUUUUUUAUGGGUUUAUGCAUAUAAUCUGCAUCAUUUGUGCCAUUUUAGUGUCUACUUUUUUGUGGGUUAGUCUUUGAGGGUUUUUUUUUCUUCUUAUGAUGAUUUUUACUUCUUUUUAGUUGAGUUUUUCUGGGUAUUUAGCAUCAAAUGUGGGAGUUAAUUUGUAAAUUUGAGCUGAAGUUGAAUAACAGGUUGAACAUUGGUUGAUCUUUUGGUGUUUGGUUGGUGACAGUGAUUGAUUCCUCAAAAGAGAUUAUGUUCUAGUGAAAACUAGCUUAGGGGUUUCUUCUAGUUGAGUUGGGCAGUUCUUGUUGUGUGGUGAAGAUAUAGGUUUGAAGUAAUGGUGAGACUUUUUAGGUUUGUUGGGCAUUGCUUCAAUUUAAGAAGGGUAUUAAGCAUGACCCUACUGGUUAUGUGUUGAAUUCAUGGAAUGAGGAGUCCAUUGAUUUCAAUGGUUGCCCUUCUUCUUGGAAUGGCAUAGUUUGUAAUGCGGGACAUGUUGCCGGGGUUGUUCUUGAUAACUUGUACCAUGUUGGUAAAACUUUCAAUGGCAAACAAGGUACAUAAUCUGCAUCAUUUGUGCCAAUUGAAUUCUGGUAGUGGUGAUUUUGCUUUGGUGGUGUAAUGAAUUAGGGUAAAGGUAAGAGUGUUGUUGAUGAAAAUGUUGCAGCAACCACAAGAAGAAGAACAAUUGGUAUUAACAACGGGGGGCGCACCUCCGAAGCAGGUAGCAAUCGCAAUGGAUAGAUACAAGCCUCUCGCCUUAUAGCCGAUAUUAGGAUCGGAGCUGAUCGUUUACUUGACGCAUUAUUUGUGCGAUCAAUGUUUCAUCACCCUUCUAAAACCUAAAAUUUUAUUACUAAACAAGAGUCUGCUAUGCGUCAUCACCUUCAAGACCUUCGCAAUAUCGGAAAACAGCUUGAAUCUUCUGGGGUUCUUAACGAAGCACUUAGACCACGAAGCAACUCUUGGGGAUUGCUACAUGUCCGUCGUUUCGUUUCAAGAUCUUUGUCUUCUUCGAUCUGUUUAGUAUUUUUUACUUUUUUUUUUCUUUUUUUUUUUUAUUUUCUUUAUUAGUUUUAUAUUUCUUUUUUUUUUGUUCUUUUUACUUUAUUCUACUAGUUUGAGUUUGAUAAUCCUUUGUUAUUAUAUGCAUUAUUUUAGUUGUAAGUGUUUUUUUUCAUUUAACAUUUUAAUCUAUUGUAUUUUUUAUGUAACUAGUUUUUUUUUAUCGUUAUAUAUUAAUAAUAUUCCUAUGUCAUUUCAUUUUCAAUUCAUAUGAAAAUUUUGUGGAUAGUGGAUUGGUUUGUUGCCUGAUUUUAAAUUUUCAAAUGUGAUUGCAAAAUGCAAUUUUGGUUACCAGGACCUAUUGACAUAUUGCUGCGAUUUUGGCCCAAAACCGCAGCAAUACUCUCUGUUAAAUAUAUAAUACAUUAAAAUAUUGCUGUGGUUUGGCCUAAAAACCGCAGCAAUAUUGGUAGAUAUUGCUGCGGUUUAAAACCUCAACAAUAUAAUUAAUACCUAUUGUUGCCCCCCCUUAAU